This 500-nucleotide ribosomal RNA is filed under the name uncultured bacterium. RNAcentral's name for it is "partial 16S ribosomal RNA". It matches the Rfam family "Bacterial small subunit ribosomal RNA", at positions 28 to 523 of the family's 1533-position model. The record is from RNAcentral.
GACGAACGCUGGCGGCGUGCCUAAUACAUGCAAGUCGAGCGGGACUCUUCGGAGUCUAGCGGCGGACGGGUGAGUAACGCGUGGGCAACCUGCCUGUAAGACUGGGAUAACACCGGGAAACCGGUGCUAAUACCGGAUAAUCCUUUCCCUCACAUGAGGGGAAGCUGAAAGACGGUUUCGGCUGUCACUUACAGAUGGGCCCGCGGCGCAUUAGCUAGUUGGUGAGGUAACGGCUCACCAAGGCGACGAUGCGUAGCCGACCUGAGAGGGUGAUCGGCCACACUGGGACUGAGACACGGCCCAGACUCCUACGGGAGGCAGCAGUAGGGAAUCUUCCGCAAUGGACGAAAGUCUGACGGAGCAACGCCGCGUGAGCGAUGAAGGCCUUCGGGUCGUAAAGCUCUGUUGUCAGGGAAGAACAAGUAUCGGAGUAACUGCCGGUACCUUGACGGUACCUGACCAGAAAGCCACGGCUAACUACGUGCCAGCCGCCGCCGUAA